GGGCCCGUGGCUCAGCCUGGGAGAGCGCCGGCCUUAUAUGGCGGCCUCUCCUAAGAAAGCCGGAGGUCCCGGGUUCGAAUCCCGGCGGGCCCA
Molecule: transfer RNA, 93 nt
Filed under: Nanoarchaeum equitans Kin4-M
Lineage: Archaea; Nanobdellati; Nanobdellota; Candidatus Nanoarchaeia; Nanoarchaeales; Nanoarchaeaceae
Rfam family: tRNA
About the family: Transfer RNA (tRNA) molecules are approximately 80 nucleotides in length.
Source: Rfam by way of RNAcentral